CUUCGCUGGACUUCUUCUGUAUGGGAACAGUGGCCUUGAAAAUGAGUCGGUCUUCACUUCCAGGCCUGGCUGGCGGGCUUCCCAGGGGGUGCACUGUCCAUCAGAGGUGACUUGGGGACCCCUGGAGGACUCCGGGUCAGCGACUGCAGAGCGCCGGGAUCCUGAAGGCGUCUGGGGUCAGUUUCCGGAAAUGGCCUUGCUAUGAGCUCCCCGCCCGAGGUCGGAGGAAGUUUCGCCGUCCUGACAUUGCGUUCACCCCUGAGGCGUCAGGGAAGGAACGAGGCGGCUGGCUCGUCCUCCCUUUGCGGAGGCUGCUCUCCUCCUGUGGAGGGCGCGUUUCCAGCCCAGGACCCCAGCGGCAGGCAGCGGCGGCACCACUGAGGUUCUUGCUGUGGAGCUCCCAAUCUUGCAGUGAUCCUCCUGUCUCAGCCUUCCAAGUGCUGGGAUUACAGGCAUGUCCCACCACACCCAGCUCUGGAAGGAAGGUGUUGCUGAAGUUGAAGAUGCCCAUUUUCGGAUUGAGACCCUCGGUUCUUCAUGACGAGCUCUCCGGAAGCCAGACAGCCUGGGUGCACUAGGAGGCCUUGUGGUAUUUCCCAGCAUCCCUUGGGAAUUAUGUGCCUCUUUGUUUUGGAAAGUGUGAUAGUUAACAGUGGUGUCAGCUUUAGGAAGAAAUGCCUGCUGAUUGGUUUAGCACGGUUCGGGUUGUGUCUGGAUGAUGGACAUACAGAAGGGGGAGGACUCACGCUGGGUGUGGGAGACACCAACCAAUGGGCUUCUACCCUGGGUGGAAUCAAAAGGGAAAGAAGGAAGUCUCCUUCUGUUGCUUCGGAGGAGCUCCAGUCUUCACCGUCACCUUUGGGCAUCCGUCUCCAGGCUUCCAGGACAGACCCUUAGGCUUCCUGACAGGAUUUGCAUGGGACUGCGAGGGGAGCUCCAGGCCUUUGACUUGUGACUGGGUCCUUUGGCUCUCCAGCGGGCAGAUGGCCCUUUUGCACUCUUCCACACCUGACUCUGUGGGCGGCCAUUAUAAGCCGACCUCGUAAAUCUCUAGUUAUUUAUC
Molecule: long non-coding RNA, 1063 nt
Filed under: Heterocephalus glaber (naked mole-rat)
Lineage: Eukaryota; Metazoa; Chordata; Mammalia; Rodentia; Bathyergidae
Description: lncRNA (ENSHGLG00100042867.1)
Source: RNAcentral